UAGGGAAUCUUCCGCAAUGGACGAAAGUCUGACGGAGCAACGCCGCGUGAGUGAAGAAGGAUUUCGGUUCGUAAAACUCUGUUGUUAGGGAAGAAAAAAAGUAUAGUAACUAUAUACAAAAGAGACGGUACCUAACCAGAAAGCCACGGCUAACUACGUGCCAGCAGCCGCGGUAAUACGUAGGGGGCUAGCGUUGUCCGGAAUCACUGGGCGUAAAGGGUUCGCAGGCGGAAAUGCAAGUCAGGUGUAAAAGGCAGUAGCUUAACUACUGUAAGCAUUUGAAACUGCAUAUCUUGAGAAGAGUAGAGGUAAGUGGAAUUUUUAGUGUAGCGGUGAAAUGCGUAGAUAUUAAAAAGAAUACCGGUGGCGAAGGCGACUUACUGGGCUCAUUCUGACGCUGAGGAACGAAAGCGUGGGUAGCAAACAGG
Molecule: ribosomal RNA, 428 nt
Filed under: Verrucomicrobiota bacterium
Lineage: Bacteria; Pseudomonadati; Verrucomicrobiota
Description: Verrucomicrobia bacterium partial 16S ribosomal RNA
Rfam family: Bacterial small subunit ribosomal RNA
Source: RNAcentral